Molecule: ribosomal RNA, 411 nt
Filed under: uncultured bacterium
Lineage: Bacteria
Description: bacterial SSU rRNA
Rfam family: Bacterial small subunit ribosomal RNA
Source: RNAcentral
GUGUCAGCAGCCGCGGUAAUACGAAGGGGGCUAGCGUUGUUCGGAAUCACUGGGCGUAAAGGGCGCGUAGGCGGCUUUAUAAGUCGGGGGUGAAAGCCUGUGGCUCAACCACAGAAUUGCCUUCGAUACUGUAGAGCUUGAGACCGGAAGAGGUAAGUAGAACUGCGAGUGUAGAGGUGAAAUUCGUAGAUAUUCGCAAGAACACCCGUGGCGAAGGCGGCUCUCUGGGACGGUACUGACGCUGAGACGCGAAAGCGUGGGGAGCGAACAGGAUUAGAUACCCUGGUAGUCCACGCCGUAAACGAUGAGUGCUAGACGUCGGGGGGUUCACCCUCCGGUGUCGCAGCUAACGCUUUAAGCACUCCGCCUGGGGAGUACGGCCGCAAGGCUAAAACUCAAAGGAAUUGACGG